UGAGCAACCUGCCCUUGACCCUGGAAUAACAGCUGGAAACAGCUGCUAAUACCGGAUACGACCUCCGAUGGCAUAAUCUGGAGGUGGAAAGCUCCGACGGUCAAGGAUGGGCUCGCGGCCUAUCAGCUUGUUGGUGAGGUAACGGCUCACCAAGGCUUCGACGGGUAGCCGGCCUGAGAGGGUGAUCGGCCACACUGGGACUGAGAUACGGCCCAGACUCCUACGGGAGCAG
This 232-nucleotide ribosomal RNA is filed under the name uncultured bacterium. RNAcentral's name for it is "partial 16S ribosomal RNA". It matches the Rfam family "Bacterial small subunit ribosomal RNA", at positions 118 to 347 of the family's 1533-position model. The record is from RNAcentral.